Molecule: ribosomal RNA, 490 nt
Filed under: uncultured bacterium
Lineage: Bacteria
Description: partial 16S ribosomal RNA
Rfam family: Bacterial small subunit ribosomal RNA
Source: RNAcentral
AUUGAACGCUGGCGGCAUGCUUUACACAUGCAAGUCGGACGGCAGCACAGAGAAGCUUGCUUCUUGGGUGGCGAGUGGCGAACGGGUGAGUAACAUAUCGGAACGUACCGAGCAGUGGGGGAUAACUAAUCGAAAGAUUAGCUAAUACCGCAUAUUUUCUGAGGAAGAAAGCAGGGGACCUUUGGGCCUUGCGCUGUUUGAGCGGCCGCUAUCUGAUUAGCUAGUUGGUGGGGUAAAGGCCUACCAAGGCGACGAUCAGUAGCGGGUCUGAGAGGAUGAUCCGCCACACUGGGACUGAGACACGGCCCAGACUCCUACGGGAGGCAGCAGUGGGGAAUUUUGGACAAUGGGCGCAAGCCUGAUCCAGCCAUGCCGCGUGUCUGAAGAAGGCCUUCGGGUUGUAAAGGACUUUUGUCAGGGAAGAAAAGGGCGGGGUUAAUACCCCUGUCUGAUCACGGUACCUGAAGAAUAAGCACCGGCUAACUACGUG